GAAGAGAAAGACUCUGGGUUUGGUUGAGGCUGUGUGUGUAGCAGCAGCAGCACUCGAGGUCACGACACCAGGUGAGGUUUUAUACUGAAAGAGAGAAGGUGAAGAUGUCACUGUUGCUUUCAAAUGUUUGUGAUUUCACAAUAAGACUCCAUCUCCGUUUCAACACCUGUAGCCUGUCUCAUCUCUGUUGUUUUGUAAAGUUGCUCCAGCUGUUCAGUGUAAAUUGCAUCAUCGCCACGUGAGCCAUGAAGAAAACCGCAUCACAGAAGCUAAAGCAUAUUUAUUCACGUAGAACAGGAACAUUUCUCCUUAAUUACACAGUUCUAGCACGACUCGGAUCGGCUCCACUCUGUGAUAGUACCUGGUACCUUUAAGGUUUUUCACUUAAAGGUACCAGGUACAUUUCCUGAAUGCAGUUUCCUGCAUCCAGCUAAUUGGAGCUGCAUGGUGAAGGGAACAGCAGCAGCUGUUGUCAGAGCAUUCAUUUUUGAUAUGGUAUGAUCAGGUUUGCGAGACGCCACAACAUGAUUGUGAAGUUUAAAUAUCUUGGAAUUAUCCUAGAUUCCAAUAUCGACUAGGGAAAGAAAAUAAACGUUAACAUCAAGAAAAUGGACCAAAUAAUCUGCAAACAUUGGAAGACGACAAAGAUGUAUGCACCAAAUGCAAGCACCAGAGAAAGGCGGGGCCAUGACAUUAUCGUAAACACAAGGGGUGGCACACGUUUUUCAAAAAAACUGUGUGUCAGUGCGGUUCUGAAUAAAUUAGCUGUGAGGCUUUAGCGUAGCUGAACGUGCAGCGACACAAGCUACUCUAGUUUGUGAUUUCCUGGAUUCCAGUUCCCAGCUCAUUGCUGCUACAUCACAGUUAAACGCUGCAAACGGCGGAUCAGAUUUAGUCGACUGUAGCGCUCCUCGCCGAGCUGCAUCUUGUAAAACUGAGUGCAUAGGUUUGGAGUUUGAGGCGCGAUCCCGAAGCUCCCUGCACCAUUUUCCCAUUUCCCGGCUUUUCCAUGUCGUCUUCGCUCUGCGGCCUCGCUCCUGAGGAAAAACAGACGCCUCCUCUGUUGCCGGCCUCCCCCUCCCCCCCCCCAGUCUCUCGGCUUUCUUCUCUCCUUGCCCCCUGGGCUUUUUUGUUUUUAUGGCAGGCCUUCUAACACAUGACCUCUGCCAGGCAUUAGGCUGCGUGUACACAUCCAUACACAACAAAAUAAAGCGAGAGCAGCCAUGUGAUUAUGUAUGAACCGAGCUCAUGGCGUUAACAGUCACUCGGGAACGUUGUGUGAGGCGAGGCCCGGCGCCGCAGAAGUCUCCUUGGCCGCCAGGUUCCAGGGGCGAUAACGGCGUCUCUGAUUUAUUCGCUGCAAAACACAUUUGUACUUUAAUCCGAUCACACGGCAGCCUCGGAGAGUAAGAAAUCAUCCUCGCCUCGUUUAGGCUUCUUCUCCCCCCCCCCCGCUCUGCCCUGUCUGGACCUGUCGCUCCUGCGCUUCGUCCGAGUCGCUGCUGCGCUGAUGCAGGACGACAAGCUGUAAUUUGGUGUACACAUUUACCUCAUUUGCAUGAGAAGCAUUUGUGCUGCGAGCCGCCGAGGUGAACGAAUUACCGCGGCGGUUAUUCUCAGUCUAAAUAACGGAGGCGAAAUUACGAGCGAUGCUGGGAAGUCGGGGAGUUGCUCAUUACAACGGAGGAGCUUUUUUUUCCCCUUUUUUAAUGUCUCCCGAUGUCUCUUUUAUCCAAGACUCGCAGGACGACAGUUUGUGAGUUUUUUACCGUCUCAUGGGGACAUUCAGAUGCACGAAGUCCUGGGCAGGUGAAUUUCAAGGUCAAAUUUGGGACCAGAUGUCAGAAGACCUGUUGAGGACCACAGUUUAAGGCCAAACAGAUUUGUUUUACAGCGUUCUGAGGACAUGUCUACUGGACCGGACCAGGUUUAGGACUUUCUGGUAUGUUUUUACGAAGACAGCAUAACUGAUUUCUUUCAGACAUCUUUUAUCAAACGCUACCCAGGUGCCUUUUGUGCUUUGUGGUUAUCGUCAUUCUUCCGUAGUCUGUAGACACGUAAAGUAACGUCACUCUGCUUCAGAUCAAAGAAACGAGAACCUUUUAAGUUGUCCUACACAUCUUCAAAGUCUCUCUCUGAUACACUGAGCCAGAAAUAUCCGCUUCUGGAGCGUUUUACCUUCACCAAACCUUCUCUUUUAUUCCCCCGGAGGCUCUUUUUUUACACGGGGACUUGUUUAUGUAUCAUUCAGAGGCUGAUUUAUAUAAAACUCCAACCCUAAAAACACAGUAGAAAUUGAUCCCUUUAUAGCUGUUGACAGCAUUAUCUGAUUUAUUGAGUGGUAAGCAAAAAAAGUAACCUUGGCUGUAGAGAGAAUUUAGAACCUGGCUCAGAUUUCCUGUAAAUCACGUUCAAACACAUGAUGCAAUCAUCAAAAAAGACUGUUUUCAUAUGAUUUUAUGGUAAAAUGUGCAAUAAAAACCAUGUAAUCCUGAGUCAGGAGGUUGGGGUCAUGUGACAUGCACAGAAAUUGUGACUUUUCUUGAGAUAUUGAAAUAAAAUGAGAAUGCACUGCAAUAAAUCUAAAGACUUGGUUAUAGCAAAUCCAAUUUUUGAUCAACUGUAUAAAAAGAAAAAGACGUUUCGUGUUGCCUUGUCUCACAUGAGGAAAAUAAUCAAAAACACCAAAAUAUAUGACACGCCAAAAACAAGACAAUGUCAGGUUUGUGACUCGCUGAGAUCCCGUCCCAGUCGUCUUCAUCAUGUGAAGCAGGUCCAGAACAGAAGGGAAGCGAAAAUGGAAAGUGAUUUUCUUUUCAUUACAAAACGAGGAGAACAAAUUUGAAUCCUAAAUCAUUAAUGCCUGUUUGUAUAACCACAUUUCCUCGCUUCACUUCCUCCAGACUUGAAGACCUCAACGUCGUCACCGUGACUACAAACACUCGCAAGCACGACUCGCUUUGUUUGUUUGUGUCGCUGUCGUCCCGCAGCUGAGGGGGGAGCGGUGCCACAGCGGAUCACCGCCCAUAGGUUUGAUGUGGACUGGAGUUGUUUGGUGGCUUCAAUGACGCAGCGUGCGAGGUGCAGCAGCCAAACACUCCCCCGCUCCCUCAAUUUCUUUUCCACCACAAACUCAGUGUUGAGUCACGACAGACGCCAGGACGCUGAGGAGAGCGACGUCCUCCACUUUGGAACGUCCUGGAUUUGAGAAACGGUGAAGUUCCUCCAUUUUGACCAUUUUUCACAGGGAAUCAAGGUUUUUUUUGUGCCAAAAUAAAUGCCUGUUGUCUGGAACACGAAAAACACCUCAUAUAUAUUGUAUAUAUUGAUGUACAGUAGAUGUUGAUUUGGCAGAGAUUUUUUUAGUCGCGUAUCCUCCCAUUUAUCCAACACUGGAUGUGGCCACCCUGUGGCUAGAGGUCAAUUUAGAGUGUCCAUUGAACAAGGAGCAAUGGGGAUCGGGUACCCGGCAACUCUUCAGUUGCAAGCCAAGUUCUCUUUCUGCUUGGUUACGAGCUGCCCCGAUAAUAAUAUUCAUAAUAAUAAUAAACGAUAUGUAUUGAGAGAGUCCCAAAGUCUGGGUCAGGAAUUUUCCCCCAACCUUUACUUUAGAGUUAUAUAUUUAUUAAUGUAUAUGUAUAUGCUUAACACAACAUGACAUUUAAUGACUUUAUCAAAGAUUUUUCAGAUAAGUGCUUACAUUUGUAAUUUGGGGUGCGAUACUUUGCCGUUUUCUUUAAAUCAAGUGUUUCCCAAUACAUAGAAAGUAUUGGGAAACACUUUAACAUACAGUAGAGCAACACAACAAUAUACUAUUAUAUUACUUAUUUCAGCUUCCUUCUUUCUAGGGGGCGCCACUGCAGAUGAUCCACAUAUUAAGAUUCCCUGACGCAAACCUCCCAUUUAUCCAAGUUGUGGCUGGAGGUCAAUUUAACACAAACCAGAACCGACUUCAGCGUCUUUGAAGGAUUCUGGAAAGAUAGCGGACCUACAAGGAGCCACUGAAGAGGGGCCGAAGAGCUGCAUGAAGCCCGGGAGCCGCAGAUGCAGAACCCUGGUCCAUUGCAGCCAGACUCUCCCUGAUAAGGAUGAUGGAUGGGGCAGAACUCUGGCUCCAGCCGAGCCCCGGCAGCUUCCUGGGAGCUGAGAGAUACUGAGGAGGAGGAGGAGGAGGUGCCCGGGCCGCCUCGUCUGAGGAGUAGCGGCUCGUCUCUGAACCUGUCCCGUGUGACCGAGCUUCUCACUGUCUCUAAGAGCAAGCCCAGGAACCCUGCGGAGGAACCCUGUGGACCCAUUUCGGCCGCUUGUAUCCGCACACAUUGAGCAUCUUAUUACAUGUUUUAAUACAGUUUGAGUCUGCUUGUUGUUUCACAGGUUUUCGAGACUCUUUGUUUUUGCAUCUUAAUCUUUGACGGUUUCACAUCUCAUUGCCUGUAUCCCAGGUUAUUAAACAUUUUGCAUCCUUAUAUUACUUUUAAUUAAACUUACUUUUAUUCCACA
Long non-coding RNA from Solea senegalensis (Senegalese sole), 4500 nucleotides. RefSeq lists it as uncharacterized. NCBI's taxonomy places the organism in Eukaryota, Metazoa, Chordata, Actinopteri, Pleuronectiformes, Soleidae. The record is from RefSeq and is a predicted model, not a curated record. The transcript has 8 exons.